UACAUAUGUACAUUAGGGUGAUUCAAAAAUAAUUUUUUUUUUUUUCAAUUGGUACUCGCAAAAAUAGGUUCCUAGACACCUCUAAGAAAGCCUCUCCAAAUAUGAGUUUUUAAUUGUAACGGUAAGGUCCUCCGCCUAACAGUUUUCUAUUUUUUCUUAUUAUCAGAUAGAAAAAUUUAUAUCUCGCUUCCAACUACUUGAAAAAAUAUCUUGUUAAUUAGGUUUUGUAGAAAAUUGAAUGCUCUAAAAUAUGGUCUCUUAUGAUUUUUUCGUAAACCCAACCGUUUAAAAGACAUUAACGGUUGAAAUUUGACUAUUUUUGGAAAAAUUCUUUAUUUCUUAUUAAUUUUAUAACUCAAUGAAAAAAAAUUAUGAU
Molecule: long non-coding RNA, 376 nt
Organism: Bactrocera neohumeralis
Lineage: Eukaryota; Metazoa; Arthropoda; Insecta; Diptera; Tephritidae
Exons: 2
Source: RefSeq, a predicted model, not a curated record